Molecule: small nuclear RNA, 103 nt
Filed under: Phascolarctos cinereus (koala)
Lineage: Eukaryota; Metazoa; Chordata; Mammalia; Diprotodontia; Phascolarctidae
Source: RNAcentral
UCACUUUGGAAGCGCACAUAUUAAUACUGGAACAAUACAGGAAGAUUAGCAUGGCCGCACGCAAGGAUGACACACACACAUUCAUGAGGUGUUUCUUAUUUUU